AGCAGUAGCCGCGGUAAUACGUAGGGUCCGAGCGUUGUCCGGAAUUAUUGGGCGUAAAGGGCUCGUAGGCGGUUUGUCACGUCGGGAGUGAAAACUCAGGGCUCAACCCUGAGCGUGCUUCCGAUACGGGCAGACUAGAGGUAUGCAGGGGAGAACGGAAUUCCUGGUGUAGCGGUGGAAUGCGCAGAUAUCAGGAGGAACACCGGUGGCGAAGGCGGUUCUCUGGGCAUUACCUGACGCUGAGGAGCGAAAGCAUGGGGAGCGAACAGGAUUAGAGACCCCGGUAGUCCUGUCUCUUAUACA
This 303-nucleotide ribosomal RNA is filed under the name uncultured bacterium. RNAcentral's name for it is "partial 16S ribosomal RNA". It matches the Rfam family "Bacterial small subunit ribosomal RNA", at positions 507 to 809 of the family's 1533-position model. The record is from RNAcentral.